Cyanistes caeruleus (blue tit) is the source of this 454-nucleotide non-coding RNA. The record is from RefSeq and is a predicted model, not a curated record. NCBI's taxonomy places the organism in Eukaryota, Metazoa, Chordata, Aves, Passeriformes, Paridae.
AGGAGGGACAGACCAUGAACACACAGAGGUGGAUUUGCCCUUUACAUGAGGCAACGCUUGGAGUGUGCUGAGCUCUGUCUCGGGAUAUCUUCCAGAACUAAUGGGAAGAGCCUGCUCAGCACCACUCAAUCCACCCAGCAUGUCCCAAAGAACCUAGGCUCCUAAACUGGGCCCUCAGAGGCUGCCAAUCAACCAGGACAUAAACAGAGGGGCUCAGGACCAUGAUGUGCACAGCCAAGGUGCACCUUUCACACUUCCCACAGUGAGUUGCAAUAAUGAGUGCCACACAUGGGAAAUAUGAAAUGUGGAGAUUGAUGAACAGAAUAACUUCAGAGUAGCCACUUGCACCCUAAAGUUACUUUGGAGGAAAGAACUUCAUGAAACUAAGUCAGUGAAAGUCUGUUCCAGGAGUCAUGCCUUCCUUAAUCAAGUCAUUAUGUUCUUGCACUGUUCA